This 327-nucleotide long non-coding RNA is filed under the name Jatropha curcas. RNAcentral's name for it is "long non-coding RNA (JCUR_LNC001061)". Lineage: Eukaryota; Viridiplantae; Streptophyta; Magnoliopsida; Malpighiales; Euphorbiaceae. The record is from RNAcentral.
AGCCUUCUCUUUCUCCAGAUUUCUAUAUUUCUGUUUGGGCGUCCAUCCUCUACACUCUCUCACUCUUCAUUUUCUUCGAUUUUUGUUUUGUUAUUUUUUUUCUAAAAUGAAAAAUUGGCAAUUGCUUUUGCAUGAAAUAUGUUUACUGUGUGAAUGGUUUAAGUACGAGGCUUUGCUUUCAGUGAGAGGCGGUUGUUUGAGGGUGGUUGACCCAGUGCUCUCUGAUAGCUAGCGGAGCCGGUGACUACUUUUAUGUUGGCAACAACCCUUAUACCAAUAUAUCUGCUUUCUUUCUUGUGUGUGUGAGUGGCUGUCUGGCGACUGGNN